Small nuclear RNA from Trichinella zimbabwensis, 113 nucleotides. Lineage: Eukaryota; Metazoa; Nematoda; Enoplea; Trichinellida; Trichinellidae. The record is from Rfam.
GUGCAAUAUGAAAGGAGAGCUAGUUAGCACUCCCCUUCACAAGGACGGAGACUUGUCAUACAAGCACAAUAGCAAUGAUCGCCUACUUCUGCGAGAUUUGCUACCAGAUUUUU